GACGAACGCUGGCGGCGUGCUUAACACAUGCAAGUCGAACGGAAAGGCCCUGCUUUUGUGGGGUGCUCGAGUGGCGAACGGGUGAGUAACCCGUGAGUAACCUGCCCUUGACUUUGGGAUAACUUCAGGAAACUGGGGCUAAUACCGGAUAGGAGCUCCUGCUGCGUGGUGGGGGUUGGAAAGUUUCGGCGGUUGGGGAUGGACUCGCGGCUUAUCAGCUUGUUGGUGGGGUAGUGGCUUACCAAGGCUUUGACGGGUAGCCGGCCUGUGUGGGUGACCGGCGACAAUGGGACUGAGAUACGGCCCAGAGUCCUACGGGAGGCAGCAGUGGGGAGUAUUGCACAAUGGGCGGAAGCCUGAGGCAGCAACGCCGCGUGCGGGAUGACGGCCUUCGAGUUGUAAACCGCUUUCGCCUGUGACGAAGCGUGAGUGACGGUAAUGGGUAAAGAAGCACCGGCUAACUACGUG
This 468-nucleotide ribosomal RNA is filed under the name uncultured bacterium. Its description in RNAcentral is "partial 16S ribosomal RNA". It matches the Rfam family "Bacterial small subunit ribosomal RNA", at positions 28 to 507 of the family's 1533-position model. The record is from RNAcentral.